ACUGCCUGCAUCUUCUAGAGCUGCUGUCCCAGCAGACGUGCACACGCACUGCCCUCCCAGCCUCGGUUUCCCUGUUGCAGCCCUGACAUGUUCUGGCUGAGGAUUCAGACUAUCCCCAUUUCCAUAGUUUUCACCAAAAAGCACCUUCUCACUAUAAAAGAAAGACAUAUUCCCUUCAGAAAACACUGAAGAACCUAAUGCAUGAGAAAAUUAAAGUCACCCAUAAUUCUAGCUGCCCCUGGAGAUACACCUAUCAUCUCCGGGUGGGGACCGUCAUGUAAGAAGGAGGAGAGUCAGAAAUUACCAGCCAGCCGAGGUCCUGGAAGCUGACGUAGAGCUCGUGCCGCCGGCAAACCUGCCGGCCGUCGGUGCCAUGAACGUCAUCUGCAGGGACAGAAGCCAGGUCUGUUCUGGGGUUCCUGCUCUGGGCAGCUUCCACAGGGAGCUCCCAGGGCGGGGGACACCCCACCGGGCACACUUGGUGAAUAAAUGAAUGCAGUGAAAC
RNAcentral lists this long non-coding RNA (505 nucleotides) under Lynx pardinus (Iberian lynx). Lineage: Eukaryota; Metazoa; Chordata; Mammalia; Carnivora; Felidae. The record is from RNAcentral.